This 496-nucleotide ribosomal RNA is filed under the name uncultured bacterium. RNAcentral describes it as "partial 16S ribosomal RNA". It matches the Rfam family "Bacterial small subunit ribosomal RNA", at positions 29 to 507 of the family's 1533-position model. The record is from RNAcentral.
AUGAACGCUGGCGGCGUGCCUAAUACAUGCCAGUCGAGCGAACGGACGAGAAGCUUGCUUCUCUGAUGUUAGCGGCGGACGGGUGAGUAACACGUGGAUAACCUACCUAUAAGACUGGGAUAACUUCGGGAAACCGUAGCUAAUACCGGAUAAUAUUUUGAACCGCAUGGUUCAAAAGUGAAAGACGGUCUUGCUGUCACUUAUAGAUGGAUCCGCGCUGCAUUAGCUAGUUGGUAAGGUAACGGCUUACCAAGGCAACGAUGCAUAGCCGACCUGAGAGGGUGAUCGGCCACACUGGAACUGAGACACGGUCCAGACUCCUACGGGAGGCAGCAGUAGGGAAUCUUCCGCAAUGGGCGAAAGCCUGACGGAGCAACGCCGCGUGAGUGAUGAAGGUCUUCUGAUCGUAAAACUCUGUUAUUAGGGAAGAACAUAUGUGUAAGUAACUGUGCACAUCUUGACGGUACCUAAUCAGAAAGCCACGGCUAACUACGUG